UACGGGGGGAGCAAGCGUUGUUCGGAUUUACUGGGCGUAAGGGGCGCGUAGGCGGUCGUGACAAGUCACUUGUGAAAUCUCCGGGCUUAACUCGGUAGCGGCCAAGUGAUACUGUCGGACUAGAGUGCGGAAGGGGCAACUGGAAUUCUCGGUGUAGCGGUGAAAUGCGUAGAUAUCGAGAGGAACACCUGCGGCGAAGGCGGGUUGCUGGGCCGACACUGACGCUGAGGCGCGAAAGCGUGGGGAUCAAACAGG
Molecule: ribosomal RNA, 255 nt
Filed under: uncultured bacterium
Lineage: Bacteria
Description: partial 16S ribosomal RNA
Rfam family: Bacterial small subunit ribosomal RNA
Source: RNAcentral